Molecule: ribosomal RNA, 483 nt
Filed under: uncultured bacterium
Lineage: Bacteria
Description: partial 16S ribosomal RNA
Rfam family: Bacterial small subunit ribosomal RNA
Source: RNAcentral
UUGAACGCUGGCGGCAGGCCUAACACAUGCACGUCGAGCGGAUGAAGGGAGCUUGCUCCUGGAUUCAGCGGCGGACGGGUGAGUAAUGCCUAGGAAUCUGCCUGGUAGUGGGGGAUAACGUCCGGAAACGGGCGCUAAUACCGCAUACGUCCUGAGGGAGAAAGUGGGGGAUCUUCGGACCUCACGCUAUCAGAUGAGCCUAGGUCGGAUUAGCUAGUUGGUGGGGUAAAGGCCUACCAAGGCGACGAUCCGUAGCUGGUCUGAGAGGAUGAUCAGUCACACUGGAACUGAGACACGGUCCAGACUCCUACGGGAGGCAGCAGUGGGGAAUAUUGGACAAUGGGCGAAAGCCUGAUCCAGCCAUGCCGCGUGUGUGAAGAAGGUCUUCGGAUUGUAAAGCACUUUAAGUUGGGAGGAAGGGCAGUAAGUUAAUACCUUGCUGUUUUGACGUUACCAACAGAAUAAGCACCGGCUAACUUCGUG